This 497-nucleotide ribosomal RNA is filed under the name uncultured bacterium. Its description in RNAcentral is "partial 16S ribosomal RNA". It matches the Rfam family "Bacterial small subunit ribosomal RNA", at positions 28 to 507 of the family's 1533-position model. The record is from RNAcentral.
GAUGAACGCUGGCGGCGUGCCUAAUACAUGCAAGUCGAGCGAACGGACGAGAAGCUUGUUUCUCUGAUGUUAGCGGCGGACGGGUGAGUAACACGUGGAUAACCUACCUAUAAGACUGGGAUAACUUCGGGAAACCGGAGCUAAUACCGGAGAAUAUUUUGCACCGCAUGGUUCAAAAGUGAAAGACGGUCUUGCUGUCACUUAUAGAUGGAUCCGCGCUGCAUUGGCUAGUUGGUAAGGUAACGGCUUACCAAGGCAACGAUGCACAGCCGACCUGAGAGGCUGAUCGGCCACACUGGAACGGAGACGCGGUCAGGACGACUGAGGGAGGCAGCAGUAGGGAAUCUGCCGCAAUGGGCGAAAGCCUGACGGAGCAGCGGCGAGUGAGUGAUGGAGGUCUUCGGAUCGUAAAACUCUGUUAUUAGGGAAGAACAUAUGUGUAAGUAACUGUGCACAUCUUGACGGUACCUAAUCAGAAAGCCACGGCUAACUACGUG